Molecule: long non-coding RNA, 741 nt
Organism: Prunus persica (peach)
Lineage: Eukaryota; Viridiplantae; Streptophyta; Magnoliopsida; Rosales; Rosaceae
Exons: 4
Source: RefSeq, a predicted model, not a curated record
UCUCUGCAAAUACAUUUUUGCCAAUUCUCAGUAAUGUAAUCUGGGUGAAAUGCAGCUUUUGGAUCCAUAAGAUGGGCAAAAAGAGUAAAUCAAAAACUCCCAGAGAGAUGUAAGAUAAUACAGCUGGUGUAGAGGAGGAAAAACCCUCAUCUUCGGCCAAGAAAUUACUGAAUCAUUGGUUGAGCUUCAGUUCAGGAACACUUGGGAGAGCAAUGAGGGUGAUCCUGUGCUACUUGUUUACAUUCCAUUUACAUCAGAUGGCAAGAUCAAUAGCAUUUCAAUUAUUGGUGGUGCUGAUGGAACAAGUCCUUCCAAGAUGAGGGCUUGUGGUAGUUUUGAAGACCUUUACAACAGCUGAAACUAUGUUGAAUGCUCGAACCCUUAGGGAAUGGAUUUCAUCUUCUCUCGGGUUAGCGCAGUGCCAACACUUCUUCACGUAUAUGAACAGGUUGUUUCAGUUCAGGAUUUGCUUAAUAAUCUUUGGGUUAAUUUAAACAAACGUGAAUGAGCUUGGGAGUGGGUGGAAUGAAUCAUAUUUGGAAUAGCUUAGUAAUUUUAUUAUUGAAUAAUUUAGUAAUCAAGAUGGUAUGAUGGAGUGAAGGGUUAUUAUGUCUUUGUACUUAAUCAUUGAUUUUGUCAGAUAAAAUGUAAGUUUCGAAGAUCCGCCUGCGUCUCUCUCUUUCUCAUGAUUGAGCGUGACAAUUUCAGGCCUUAUGUAGUUGCAAAGCAUAUGGUAGUAGU